RNAcentral lists this long non-coding RNA (950 nucleotides) under Coturnix japonica (Japanese quail). RNAcentral's name for it is "lncRNA (ENSCJPG00005003034.1)". The record is from RNAcentral. Lineage: Eukaryota; Metazoa; Chordata; Aves; Galliformes; Phasianidae.
GCGCCUCCCAGGGAUCUUAUCAACCCCAUCUCCGAGCCCAGCAGCUCACAGCUCGCCUGCCAGCUCGAUGGGGUUUGGUUCUGUGCUUCCGAUGACUGAGAUUUUGCUUGGCUUCCUGGAGCUUUGGCUGGGGAAGAGCAGCUCUCACACCGCAGCUGGCAGUGCAUGAGGGUGGGAGGGACCUACAAGCAUCACAGCCCUGCCUGGCCCUACACCUCCCCCCGCCUUUUUCUGUAGAGUAGGUGCUAAGUGGGCACCCGGCUCCUGCCCCACAGUUUUCCCAUGAGUCCUCCCCGGCUCAGCUUCCAUGCAAACCCCUCCCAUGCUCUUACACAGGGGUAGGAAAUGAGCUGUAUGUUCACGCUCUUGGAAGCUGCCGACUUCAGCUGGGUGAGCUCCCAGCCUGGUUCCUGGGGAAGCUUGGGAGAACAGACAGCAGAGCGCAGCAUCACUGCUUCGUGGACCACAUGGAGCUGCUCUGAGUGCCACCCAACAUGCACAGCUGUCAUCCUGCUUUGCUGCAGGCAUUGGCCCAGUUCCAUUUGGCGUUGGCGGCAGUUCCCAGCCUGUGCAUUUUGAUGCGGAUUCUCCAACCACUUGUAAACUCUUAUAAGCGAGGAGGAAGGAGGUGGGAAGCACAGCGCCUUGCUGCAGGCAGGAGCAUGGCUGGGGAGCAGGGCAGGGAGCUGAGCCUGGCUGUCCUCAUCUCCUUAUCACUAAUAAAAUGGUGGGAAUGGCUGCUGUGGGCCCAGAGGUUAUCAGAGAUUGGUGAGUAUGGAAGGAAGGGAUGCAGAAGGACCCAACAGGGUGCAGUGCAGCAUGGGAGCAGCAGAAGGCAACAGGGGAAGGCAGCACGGGCAGUGCCAAUAUCACUCCCCUGCUCUCUGAAAACCCCAAUGAUCAGCCCCCUAUUUCGUGAAUACACAAUCCACUUGCAGCUUCCUAAAUAA